AUAAACCCAUGACAUCGGGUUCAGGGUGAUCAGCAAUGCUCUGACCCCAGGUGGAGGCUCGCCAUUGCACUCCGGCGUGUUGAAGCCUGUGACGGACUCUAAUCGGGUUCGCUCGGGUGUGUAGUUUUUGCCUAAC
RNAcentral lists this small nuclear RNA (136 nucleotides) under Schistocephalus solidus. RNAcentral's name for it is "U1 spliceosomal RNA". It matches the Rfam family "U1 spliceosomal RNA". Rfam says of the family: U1 is a small nuclear RNA (snRNA) component of the spliceosome (involved in pre-mRNA splicing). Lineage: Eukaryota; Metazoa; Platyhelminthes; Cestoda; Diphyllobothriidea; Diphyllobothriidae. The record is from Rfam by way of RNAcentral.